CAGUGGCGAACGGGUGAGUAACACGUGGGCAAUCUGCCCUGCACUCUGGGACAACACCGGGAAACCGGUGCUAAUACCGGAUACGACGCACCUCGGCAUCGGGUGUGCGUGGAAAGCUCCGGCGGUGCAGGAUGAGCCCGCGGCCUAUCAGCUUGUUGGUGGGGUGAUGGCCUACCAAGGCGACGACGGGUAGCCGGCCUGAGAGGGCGACCGGCCACACUGGGACUGAGACACGGCCCAGACUCCUACGGGAGGCAGCAGUGGGGAAUAUUGCACAAUGGGCGAAAGCCUGAUGCAGCGACGCCGCGUGAGGGAUGAAGGCCUUCGGGUUGUAAACCUCUUUCAGCAGGGAAGAAGCGCAAGUGACGGUACCUGCAGAAGAAGCACCGGCUAACUACGUGCCAGCAGCCGCGGUAAUACGUAGGGUGCGAGCGUUGUCCGGAAUUAUUGGGCGUAAAGAGCUCGUAGGCGGCCUGUCGCGUCGGAUGUGAAAGCCCGGGGCUUAACCCCGGGUCUGCAUUCGAUACGGGCAGGCUAGAGUUCGGUAGGGGAGAUCGGAAUUCCU
RNAcentral lists this ribosomal RNA (565 nucleotides) under Streptomyces sp. 419A04. Its description in RNAcentral is "bacterial SSU rRNA". It matches the Rfam family "Bacterial small subunit ribosomal RNA", at positions 93 to 671 of the family's 1533-position model. The record is from RNAcentral. Lineage: Bacteria; Bacillati; Actinomycetota; Actinomycetes; Kitasatosporales; Streptomycetaceae.